RNAcentral lists this ribosomal RNA (558 nucleotides) under Stumpffia nigrorubra. RNAcentral describes it as "partial 16S ribosomal RNA". The stretch from base 1 to 113 matches the Rfam family "Bacterial large subunit ribosomal RNA", at positions 718 to 852 of the family's 2925-position model. Lineage: Eukaryota; Metazoa; Chordata; Amphibia; Anura; Microhylidae. The record is from RNAcentral.
AAACUAAGCGAGCUACUCUAAAACAGCCCACAGAGCCAACCCAUCCCUGUUACAAAAGGGUGGGGAGAUUUUAAAGUAGAGGUGACACACCAAUCGAGCCUAGAGAUAGCUGGUUAUUCAAAAGACGGAUCUAAGUCCAACUUUAAGCUUCUACAAGUGACACAAACAGCCCACAAACUUAAAGGCCAUUCAAAUAAGGUACAGCCUGUUUGAACAAGGAGACAACCUAUGACAUAGGGUAACGACCACCACACGUGACUAAGUAGGCCUAAAAGCAGCCAACUUCUAAAGGGCGUCCAAGCCUUACCGCACCUGCCAUCAAUUCCUCUAUCCACCCACAACCCACAACCAAUAAUGAAUGACCCCAUACCCAUAUGGAAGACACUAUGCUAGAACUAGUAACAAGAAGACGAACUUCUCCAAAAUGCAAACAUAGGCCAAAAUGAACCCUCACCGGCACUUACCGCACCACAACAUAGUACUAACUGCACAAGAAUACCCUACUACAUUGCGCGUCAACCUUACACAAGAGCAUCCCUGGAAAGAUUAAAAGGGGGG